This 135-nucleotide ribosomal RNA is filed under the name uncultured bacterium. RNAcentral's name for it is "partial 16S ribosomal RNA". It matches the Rfam family "Bacterial small subunit ribosomal RNA", at positions 1365 to 1500 of the family's 1533-position model. The record is from RNAcentral.
AAUACGUUCCCGGGCCUUGUACACACCGCCCGUCACACCAUGAGAGUUGGGAAUACCCGAAGCCUGUGAGCUAACUUUUAGAGGCAGCAGUCGAAGGUAGAAUCAAUGAUUGGGGUGAAGUCGUAACAAGGUAAC